RNAcentral lists this unclassified non-coding RNA (204 nucleotides) under uncultured Agaricomycetes. Its description in RNAcentral is "sequence contains ITS2". The record is from RNAcentral. Lineage: Eukaryota; Fungi; Basidiomycota; Agaricomycetes.
AAAAGUCUCAAUCCUACUUGCUUUAACUAUAAGCUAGUAUGGCUUGGAUUCGUGGAAGUUGCUGGUUAUUUAUAAAUUAGCUCUUCUUAAUAUCAUUAGCAAAUUUACUGCUAAACUCUUUUGAUAUGAUAACUAUCAAUAUCAAAGAGAUAAUGCAUAUUAAUUUUGCUUCUAAUUUGUCCAUAAGACUAAUGUUCUUGACAA